CAGCAGCCGCGGGAAAACGGAGGGUGCAAGCGUUAUCCGGAUUCACUGGGUUUAAAGGGUGCGUAGGCGGGCAGGUAAGUCAGUGGUGAAAUCUUCGAGCUUAACUCGGAAACUGCCGUUGAUACUAUCUGUCUUGAAUAACGUUGAGGUGAGCGGAAUAUGUCAUGUAGCGGUGAAAUGCUUAGAUAUGACAUAGAACACCGAUUGCGAAGGCAGCUCACUAAACGCUCAUUGACGCUGAGGCACGAAAGCGUGGGGAUCAAACAUGAUUAGAUACCCGCGUAGUCCCUGUCUCUUAUAC
Molecule: ribosomal RNA, 301 nt
Filed under: uncultured bacterium
Lineage: Bacteria
Description: partial 16S ribosomal RNA
Rfam family: Bacterial small subunit ribosomal RNA
Source: RNAcentral